Molecule: ribosomal RNA, 459 nt
Filed under: uncultured bacterium
Lineage: Bacteria
Description: partial 16S ribosomal RNA
Rfam family: Bacterial small subunit ribosomal RNA
Source: RNAcentral
CCUACGGGUGGCAGCAGUGAGGAAUAUUGGUCAAUGGGCGGAAGCCUGAACCAGCCAAGUCGCGUGCGGGAUGAAGGCCCUACGCGUUGUAAACUGCUUUUGUCCGGGGACAAAAUCCUCCUCGUGAGGAUGUCUGAGGGUACUGUGCGAAAAAGCGCCGGCUAAUUCCGUGCCAGCAGCCGCGGUAAUACGGAGGACGCGAGCGUUAUCCGGAUUUAUUGGGUUUAAAGGGAGCGUAGGCGGGCGGUUAAGUCAGCGGUAAAAGCGCGCGGCUCAACCCCGGCCAGCAGUUGAAACUGGAUGCCUUGAGUUGACGACAGGCAGGCGGAAUGCGUGGUGUAGCGGUGAAAUGCAUAGAUAUCGCGAAGAACCCCGAUUGCGAAGGCAGCCUGCCGGCGGGGGACUGACGCUGAGGCUCGAAGGUGCGGGUAUCGAACAGGAUUAGAUACCCUAGUAGUC